This 241-nucleotide ribosomal RNA is filed under the name uncultured bacterium. RNAcentral's name for it is "partial 16S ribosomal RNA". It matches the Rfam family "Bacterial small subunit ribosomal RNA", at positions 524 to 764 of the family's 1533-position model. The record is from RNAcentral.
UACAGAGGUCUCGAGCGUUGUUCGGAUUCAUUGGGCGUAAAGGGUGCGUAGGUGGCUAGGUAAGUCGGAUGUGAAAUCCCGGGGCUCAACCCCGGAACUGCAUUCGAUACUGCUUGGCUUGAGUACUGGAGAGGAGAUUGGAAUUCACGGUGUAGCAGUGAAAUGCGUAGAUAUCGUGAGGAAGACCAGUGCGGAAGGCGGAUCUCUGGACAGUUACUGACACUGAGGCACGAAGGCCAGG